This is a long non-coding RNA of Camelus dromedarius (Arabian camel), 1804 nucleotides long. RefSeq lists it as uncharacterized. The transcript has 3 exons. NCBI's taxonomy places the organism in Eukaryota, Metazoa, Chordata, Mammalia, Artiodactyla, Camelidae. The record is from RefSeq and is a predicted model, not a curated record.
GCGAACGAAGCCGCAGCGCCUGUGGGCGACCGUCGCCCAUCUGCAUCCGGGUGUGAGCCCCGCCUGUCGGGUCACAUAGGAAGACUGCUGCACCUUUCCAGGUGUUUCUGCCCGCUGCCUCCAGGCCGGUUGAGGACUGCCGGCACAUAGCGGGUACUCUGGAAAUACUUGAACAGAGUAGAGGAGAUUGUUUUGUGCUAAAGCAAAGGGUCUGCGGUUCCAGGACGCAGGGGCCGAACGUGCGAGACCCUGAGAGCCAUGGAGGCUCUCUGGCCGCUUUGCAGAUGAAUUUCAGGGCGGGUGCGUACAGAAGCAGGGAGAGCAGGUGGGGCAGGUGCUUUCACUCAAGGAAAUGGGGUGGGACCAGGUCUGUUUUGGAUAUAGGACGGAGAUUUGUGGGUGGCUAAAAAGUACGGGGCACCGGAAAGAGGUGAGGAUGUGAAGUUACUGUGGGUUUGGCGGCAUACCUUAUUAUUGCCUUGAACACUUCCCAGCGCCCCCUAUGGACCAGGCAAAAGCAGGCAUUCUGAGGUCUGGGAAGAUGCCUUUAAUAAUUUCUAGAUGCUUCAAAGAUGAAGGGACUCUGAGUAUCUCAUGGGGAACGGACCCAGUCUAGCUUCCUGAGGGGCCCACUCUGGGGCUGAGUGGAGGAUGAGUUAUUCUAGUAGAUAAGUGAAUGUUUCAAGCAGUGGGAAUAGUAUGUUGGAAGGCCUAGAUGGUGAUAGGAGGUGGGGUUAUUGGUUAUUGGUUAUAUGGCCAUCGCAGGAGACUCCCACCCAAAGCAGCCAUGUAUGUUUUUUUCUAGCCCAGUGGUGCCUGGCUGUCCAUAACUGUCCUGUCCACAUCCAGCACUUGUCCACCUUCUGGGCUGCUCAGCCCAAGGAUGGAAGGAAGCCACUAAUAGGCACUCCUCUGGGUGACUCAUCCCAAGCUGUCUCUCCAUCCCCGGGUAAUGCAGUCCUGUUUACAAGGAAUUACAAAAGGGUCUUCAGAGCAGCAUCUCACCCUUGACUAUGCCCUCCUCUCCACAGAAGUACCACUGCUGCUGGGUCCCUGCCUGGGUGGACCCACUUACCUCCUUCCUGAGUGAUACAGACACAUACAAAAGAUGUCGCCCCUUGGGGUUCCUGCUCUACCCCUACCCCUGCAACACCACAGGUGGGCAGCCCACCUGCUGAGAUACCCCAAAAAAGAUAUGAUUUUAUAAAGGAUUUAACUGGCCUGUCUUGUGAUUUCUGCACAGAACUUGCUCAAGGAAACACGUUCCCCUCAAUCUGUGGCACCUGCUCUGUGAGCGGGUGCAGUUGUCCCCGGAACAGAGGAAAUGGCACAAUUGGCUGGGAGCGCAGCUGCGGCACCAGCUUGGUCCAGGCCUGGGUGCCCAGCCACAGCUGUUCACAGCAGCAGUGAUGAUGCAAGCUCCGGGUGCCAGGCCAAGCAUUCUGUGUGGCUGGGGACUUGGACAUCAUCUUUCCCUGUCCUCGUGGAAACCAGGUCAAGAAGGACCCAUAAACCUGGCAAUCUCACUUGCUCUUGAGAGAAGAACUGGGUGGGCACCAAAGGGGACAGGAAGCUAGCCUUUUACUGGCUGCUCCUGCCUGCCUUUUGCAUUAUGAAUUGGGCGCUACAUUGCAUUUUCAAAAGAGAAAUAAAAUUUAAAGUCAGAAACUCCCAAAAUUUUCAGGUCUUCUCCAAUACUAAGUGUGUGAUGAAGCCUAGGAAAGCAAACAAGCUAAAUCUCCCCACCGCCCUGAUACUUGGAGAGGAUGGCCCUCACUAAAGAGGGGAGGAACCCGAGGCUCCA